This is a long non-coding RNA of Xenia sp. Carnegie-2017, 1559 nucleotides long. RefSeq lists it as uncharacterized. Lineage: Eukaryota; Metazoa; Cnidaria; Anthozoa; Malacalcyonacea; Xeniidae. The record is from RefSeq and is a predicted model, not a curated record. The transcript is spliced from 2 exons.
AGGAAGCACGGCAAAUUUUUGCCUCGUGCUCGAUGGUAAUUAUCGGAAUUAGCGGGAAAAAACUACGUCAGAGGUCUGGUACCGACACAGAGACGCGAUUCUUGUCAUUUCUUUCUGGAUAGUACGCCGUCCAUCGAAGCUCCUCAGUUCGUAGAUAUACAAAAAUUGCCAAAUACCAGCUGUUAUCCUUCUGUAAAAAAUGCCUCCGUGUUUAUCAAAAUCAAUAAUGAGAGACGUCUACACCAUUUAUCCACAAAAGAAUAAUGCUGUACCACAAUACAACCAAACGAUCACUGCUAUGUUCCAAAAAAGACCUGAGCGAAGUCCUUUCGCUAGACCUGAUAUGUACGAUAUUGUGAGCUUGCUUUACAUUUCGAAUGAGUUGGUUGAAAAAGAGAUGAUGAAAAGUGAAGGAGAAAAUGCACUCUCGUUUAUUCUGUCUCAUCUUGAUGACCAAUCAAUGACAGUUUUACUUGGAACCUACAUUAAGAAAUUUUUCAAAUGUACUAUAUUUACGAAUGACGCCUUUCCUCUUUUUCCAUACAAUGAAAACUACCUAAACGGUUGGUUUACGCAGAAUUUUUCACAUUGUAAUGAUGCAGAGGGCAAAACUAAUCAAGAUGUAAAGAUUUUUAAUGCAAGUAACAAAGAUGAAGCAAUUAAAUAUAUCAUCCAGUUUGAAGAAAGAAGAAGAAUGAAAUACUGAGUUAUAUUUCCAUGGCACUGAUCAUUCGUCUGCUCAGAAUAUUCUUGAGAAUGGCAUUAAAUUAGGUAAAGGUGGUGAAAAGUGUGACUUGUCGCAUAAGUAUGGUUUCUACAUGGCAAAUGAUUAUGAAUACUCGUUAACGCAAUAUUCUAAUAUAACAGAAGCAGCCCUUCUCAUUUUUUGUUUACGCCCAAAUAAUUUGAAAAGUUUCCAAGAAUUGUAUUUAUGUGGUAAGAGCAAUCAACAAGACUUUGUUUCAGUUACUCCUUACUUUAGGGCUGGAAAGAUAAGCUGUAAAGGUUCCAUGAGCAGGGAACUAUUUUCGGCAUUAGAAGUGCGAUUAUAUCAAAAGUCCAAUUUCAUGCGAUGUUCGUUCAGCAGGUGACCAAAGGAAAGAUAUUCUGCAGGUUUGUGUAAAGAAACACAAAAUGGCUGAGACAAUGAGCAAUAGACAAGACUUUCUUUCAGUUACUCCAUACUUUACGGCUGGAAGGAUAGACUGUAAAGGUUCCAUGAGCAGGAAACUAUUUUCUGAAUUACAGAAGUGCGAUUAUAUCAAAAGUCCAAUUACAAGUGAUGGUCAUUCAGCAGAUGACCAAAGGAAGAUAUUCUGCAGGUUUGUGUGAAGAAACACAAAAUGGCUGAGACAAUGAGCGGUUCUCCGUUAUUGGUGGGUGCAGUCUUUAUAAAGCCUGAUUCUGAAGAGAACAAUUCGUUGUUGGGUUUUGAUUCAUUUGCAUAUUGAAAACAACAUUUUGAAUCUGAUGCUUAGCAAUGGCCUGUUCAUGUGUAUUUAACUUCUUCAACUGGGAGGCAACAAGCAUUCCAAAUAAAUCAUUUUAAUCUUUUUCCA